This is a long non-coding RNA of Neopsephotus bourkii (Bourke's parrot), 3400 nucleotides long. RefSeq lists it as uncharacterized. Lineage: Eukaryota; Metazoa; Chordata; Aves; Psittaciformes; Psittacidae. The transcript is spliced from 2 exons. The record is from RefSeq and is a predicted model, not a curated record.
AACACUCCCAGCCAAGUUGGUGUUGCAUAUUACAUUCUGUUUUCUAAACUCCUGUAAAUUUAAUUCUGAGCCAAGUGAGAAGGCCUAUUCCAGCUAAAUUAUUAGAAGCAGCAAUUUCUGGGCUGCCUUAUUUGUUACAGUGGUACUGAGUAGCUGAAGCUGCUUGAAUGGUUUCAGCAUCUCGCAGACAAAGCCCUGAAUUUGGGCAUAAACAAUUUGAAAUGAACAUAGCAUUGGGAGUUACUUAUUUGGAUGCUAGCCUCAUGUUUGCUCUCAGCCUUUUAAGUUUAGAUAGUGUGAGAUAUUUUAUUUAUCCUAGUGAAACCUAUUUCAUGUUCAUAUAAUCAGUUGCUUGGUCAGAAUUGUUCUGUUCUGAUUCAGAAUGUCUUGGCACUUAAAUGUACGGUUCCGUGUGUAUUUUGUAGGGAAAGUAUGUACCCACAGUAUUAGAGGGGAUCAGAAGAUGAAGAUGUUGUUUCUAGAUUUAACCACUUUAAUUGUUUCACUCCAUUCUCCACAGACAAGCCCUCCUACAGCAUCCAAAAUUUUAACUUUGAAUUGUAAAGUAUGACCUCAGAGGAACGAAUUCAAAGUAGUAACUGCUGUGGUUUAAGUAUCGUGACCAGAGCAGUCAAAUUAAAACUAUCAUUCUAGCAAGGUAUAGGCUGUUACCACUUCAGCUGUUAAUUUUAUUUUUUUUUAAUGCAUUGAAUUUAUUAACAUAAAGCUGUGUGUAAGAAAUAAACUAUAGCUAAGCAUUCAUUCAUAAUACACGAAUGUAUGUGAAUAGAUCUUCUGAAUUAUUCAAGCUUUGUGAUUCUUACGUCCAAGAGAUUCUUGUUUCUCACUUUCAAAGUGAUCAGACGUUUAUUCAGUUUAAAGCAGAUAAAAAAUUAUUUUGCAUGGGUUUAUCUGUGUUCAACUAAAACAAUGGCUUCAUUUUAUCAUUAAUGUGUUUGGAAGAUGUUAAUGUAGUUUUCAAAAGUACUUUUUCCCCUAACAUGAAAAAAUAGUGUAUCAUGACAUCUGCAUGUCAUCACCGUUCUUCCAGGUCCUCUAAAAAUUGUUUACAGGUAUCAGAUGUACUGCUUGGUUGAAGAGCUGCUAUAAAAUCUGUAGCAUGUAGUCCUUUCAAAUCCCUUUGCACUGAGUAGUUUAUUAUAACAUGUAUUUAAUUUUAAUGUGCAGAAUAGACAUGGGAUCAUACCAUCUUUUGGGAUGAAUAUUAAACCACUUUAUGUGCAUAUAAUAUAUAGUGGCAUCUUUUUAUGCAGAACGAUCUCAAAAUGCUUUAUAAAUCUCCUCAAAGAUUCUAAAUCCCUUUCGUAGAAAAGAGAGUUUUGUUCAUUUCUUUGAAUUGUGGAUGAAGCCAAGGCAUUGAUUAAAUGUUGAAUCAAUACACUACCACCUAAGUAAUUUUAGGAGGUUAUAGAAGUAUGCUCCAAAGAAUUGCAAGUAGAGUCAGGAGAAAAUAAAUAUAAAACAAAUAUAUAUAAAAAUAAGUGGUAAAGAUAUGGAAACACUUGACAGGUUCUUUGGAGUUUGUUGGCUUCUUGUCAGUUGAGGGGUUUUUUUUAAACCUACAUCACCACAGCUAGUAUAAAAACUGGUCAGCUAUUCACUUCAAGAUAAAAUUAAUGAACAGAGAGUAGUGGUUCCUUAUACUGAGGGGAAGGCUUUCAGGAAAGAAAUAGACAUUCAAUGUAGAAAUAAUUUGAAGUGACAAAAAGGAGCUUUCUCCACAAAUCAAUUCAGCUGGUGUAAACUAGCACAGGACUGCUGGAGCUGUUAUACCUUCAGUGAUUUAAAUUCAUUAUAUAGGUAUUCUUGUGGAAAAUCAAGAUUUCACCAGUUUGAGAGCUGCUCAUUUAUGGUGUCUCAUCUGGAAUCACAGUGCUUGGUUGAACUUCAGCUAAGUUUCAUUUGGAGAUAAUUGAUGUAGGGGUGAAUUCAAACAGCUGGAAGUAUAUAUAAAAAAAUAAAUGAUUGGAGAAAUGAUUUUGUGGUAGAAUUGACUAUCCUUAACACAAAUGUAAUGGUGAAAUGGGCAUUCUUACUCUGUGGUGUACUGUUGUUUGAAAUCUGAAAUUAAAUAUCUGGAGUUACAUUGUUUUCUUCAGUCUGUGGCCCUGUUGGUAUGAGGAACUAACCUAGCUGGUUCUGCCCCGUGGGUCUGGAGUGAAGUAAUCUCUUUGGGUAGGAUUUUUAAUCUGCCAGUCAGAUUGUUUCCUAAAAUCCUGUUCCCUUAACACAACAUAACAUUAACUUAAUGAUUGUAUAUGUGUGUCUAUAUGCACAUGUAUGUGUGUGUAUAUGUAUAUAUGUGUAUUUAUAUAUUUGAGACUAUUAUUCAGAUGACCUGUUUUCAAGCAGUAUUUUACAAUCAAAAACCACACUGUGCUGCAUUCAAAAUAUAAUGUAUAUUGUAUAUUGACUGUGUUGAGCCUGCUUUUCAGAAGAAAAAUAUCAACAAAAGUAGAUCUACUUUUGUGGCAUGUUUACUAUUUUGGCCUAAUUUAAAAACAAACAAACAAACAAAACAAAAAUAUCUACCCAGAAACCCAACAACAACAAAACCCCAAACACUCUAAAUUCAUCAAGGCACUCAAUCUGCCUCCUUUAAAGCCCUGUGAUUAAAUUGCUUCCCAGACUUUACGGCAUUUUGAUUUUACUCCUUCCUCUGCCUAGCUCAAAUGAAUGUAGAAUGUGGUUUUCCUCUUCUAAAAUCUUCAAGCAGAUUUCCUUGAAUAAAAUGUUUUCAGCUAUUUGUUUAUAGUUCAUCAUUGUAGAUGCAUUAAAUAUUCAUGGUGAAAACAUUCAGGAAAGGGGGAGCUAUGCCAAAACAUUUUCCCAUGGAUGUGUGCCCUAGUAUUUUUAAGAAAGAAGCCAAAUUUGUUGCAUAUAGGGAACAGUUUGCAAUAGAAGUAUUGGUUUGGUUUUUUCUAUUAGCAUGUUUUCUAUUCUGCAGCCGCCAAGGUAGAUUAAUAUGUUAAUUUUAGUGGAUCAGCUGUAAUGUUUGACAUCAGAAUUACAGUCUACGCAUUAAUUCCCCUUCAUUAUGGAAACAUUUCUGAUUUGAAUUGUGAAAACACUUUUUAAAAGAAAACCCCUAAUAUUUGGAAGAGGUGUAUUAUUUGUUCUGGUUUUGCAAUAAAGUGAAGAGUAUUAAAAAGGUGAAAUAUAAAUGCCGUUGUAAGUUGUGCAAAUGUAAGUGGUCAUUUUUAUGGUCAAGAAAUAUAUGAAUGUAAAAACUUUGCAGAUAUUGUAUAUAUUUUCUGUAAUAUAUGUAUAUUUGGUCAUAAGAUGGGUGGAGAAUUGUAAAAAUUAAGCACUUUAAUUCCUGUUCAGUACUUAAAAAGAAAUUUGUAUCCUGUACAAUAAAUGUAUCAUUAAAUAAGUA